RNAcentral lists this non-coding RNA (148 nucleotides) under Gorilla gorilla gorilla (western lowland gorilla). The record is from Rfam by way of RNAcentral. Lineage: Eukaryota; Metazoa; Chordata; Mammalia; Primates; Hominidae.
GCUGGGUGUGGUGGCGUGCGCCUGUAGUCCCAGCUACUCGGGAGGCUGAGGCAGAAGAAUCACUUGAAUCUGGGAGGUGGAGGUUGCAGUGAGCCGAGAUCGUUCCACUGCACUCCAGCCUGGGUGACAGAGUGAGACUCUGUCUCAA